GUUAAUUUACGAUAGAGCGAGAUUUAGCCUUAGCAAUCUAAACGAAAGUUGUAGAAUAUGUUAAACUAAGCGCUUCGAUAAAAAGAACGCCCAAAUCUGACUUCGUAUGAGGAAGUUAUGAUUUUUCUAAAAUUCGGCUUAGCAAUGUACAGCCCGAAACUCGAAUUUUAGAUCGAGCGGUUUUUGGCUUACGCGACCUAAAUGAGAGUUGAAGAUCUCAUUAAUAGGAACUCAACGGUAAAAAGAUGGACGAAAACGGAGUUCGUAUGAAGGAGUUACGAAUUCUUCGCGGUCAUUUAACAGUCUAAACGCCUCCUACUGUUAAAUUUGAGAUCGGUCGAGAAUUAGCCGACGGAGUCUAAACAAAAGUUGUAGAUCUUGAUUUUACCUACGCGUGGAUAUAAAGAACGUCGAAAACGGAGCUCGUAUGCGANCGGUCGAGAAUUAGCCGACGGAGUCUAAAUAAAAGUUGUAGAUCUUGAUUUUACCUACGCGUGGAUAUAAAGAACGUCAAAAACGGAGCUCGUAUGCGAGAGUUAUGAUUUUUCUAAGUCGGGAGGCUGUUGUGCGAAAUCGGGUGACGUGACGCAAUCCUGGCCGUUGCUUCCUCCCCAAGGCUAGCCACCAGAUGUUGACACCUGGCCUGGAACUCGACGAGUUUUUGGCUUUUCCAGCCUAUAAAAAGGGUGCCGGGGCAUCCUCAUUUCUCACACCUUCCAACUUCUCUUUCUCUCUCUAGAAUCUCUCUCUAAGCCUCC
This 758-nucleotide long non-coding RNA is filed under the name Lactuca sativa (garden lettuce). Its description in RNAcentral is "long non-coding RNA (LSAT_LNC009387)". The record is from RNAcentral. Lineage: Eukaryota; Viridiplantae; Streptophyta; Magnoliopsida; Asterales; Asteraceae.